RNAcentral lists this ribosomal RNA (468 nucleotides) under uncultured bacterium. RNAcentral's name for it is "bacterial SSU rRNA". It matches the Rfam family "Bacterial small subunit ribosomal RNA", at positions 29 to 508 of the family's 1533-position model. The record is from RNAcentral.
AUGAACGCUGGCGGCGUGCUUAACACAUGCAAGUCAAGGGGGGCCCGCAAGGGUCAACCGGCGAACGGGUGCGUAACACGUGAGCGACCUGCCCAGUUGCGGGGGAUAGCCGGCCCAACGGCCGGGUAAUACCGCAUACGCGUCCUUGGGGGCAUUCCUGGGGACGGAAACCUACGGGGCGAUUGGAGGGGCUCGCGGCCUAUCAGCUAGUUGGUGCGGUAACGGCGCACCAAGGCGAUGACGGGUAGCUGGUCUGAGAGGAUGGCCAGCCACAUUGGGACUGAGAGACGGCCCAGACUCCUACGGGAGGCAGCAGUGGGGAAUCUUGCGCAAUGGCCGAAAGGCUGACGCAGCGACGCCGCGUGGAGGAUGACGCCCUUCGGGGUGUAAACUCCUGUUGCCCGGGACGAAUACCCGUUUCGACGGGGGUGACGGUACCGGGUGAGGAAGCACCGGCUAACUCUGUGC